Molecule: ribosomal RNA, 484 nt
Filed under: uncultured bacterium
Lineage: Bacteria
Description: partial 16S ribosomal RNA
Rfam family: Bacterial small subunit ribosomal RNA
Source: RNAcentral
AUUGAACGCUGGCGGCAGGCCUAACACAUGCAAGUCGAGCGGAUGAAGGGAGCUUGCUCCUGGAUUCAGCGGCGGACGGGUGAGUAAUGCCUAGGAAUCUGCCUGGUAGUGGGGGAUAACGUCCGGAAACGGGCGCUAAUACCGCAUACGUCCAGAGGGAGAAAGUGGGGGAUCUUCGGACCUCACGCUAUCAGAUGAGCCUAGGUCGGAUUAGCUAGUUGGUGGGGUAAAGGCCUACCAAGGCGACGAUCCGUAACUGGUCUGAGAGGAUGAUCAGUCACACUGGAACUGAGACACGGUCCAGACUCCUACGGGAGGCAGCAGUGGGGAAUAUUGGACAAUGGGCGAAAGCCUGAUCCAGCCAUGCCGCGUGUGUGAAGAAGGUCUUCGGAUUGUAAAGCACUUUAAGUUGGGAGGAAGGGCAGUAAGUUAAUACCUUGCUGUUUUGAUGUUACCAACAGAAUAAGCACCGGCUAACUUCGUG